CCUACGGGAGGCAGCAGUGGGGAAUAUUGGACAAUGGGGGAAACCCUGAUCCAGCGACGCCGCGUGAGUGAAGAAGUAUUUCGGUACGUAAAGCUCUAUCAGCCGGAAAGAAAAUGACGGUACCUGACUAAGAAGCCCGGGCUAACUAAGUGCCAGCAGCCGCGGUAAUACGUAGGGGGCAAGCGUUAUCCGGAUUUACUGGGUGUAAAGGGAGCGUAGACGGGAGCGCAAGUCUGGAGGGAAAUGCGUGGGCGCAACCCCGGAACUGCUCUGGAAACUGUGAAGCUGGAGUGGAGGGGAGGUAAGCGGAAUUCCUGGUGUAGCGGUGGAA
This 331-nucleotide ribosomal RNA is filed under the name uncultured bacterium. Its description in RNAcentral is "partial 16S ribosomal RNA". It matches the Rfam family "Bacterial small subunit ribosomal RNA", at positions 338 to 686 of the family's 1533-position model. The record is from RNAcentral.